UAGGGAAUCUUCCGCAACGGACGCAAGUCUGACGGAGCAACGCCGCGUGAGUGAAGAAGGAUUUCGGUUCGUAAAACUCUGUUGUUAGAGAAGAACAGCGCAUAGAGUAACUGUUAUGCGUGUGACGGUAUCUAACCAGAAAGCCACGGCUAACUACGUGCCAGCAGCCGCGGUAAUACGUAGGUGGCAAGCGUUGUCCGGAUUUAUUGGGCGUAAAGCGAGCGCAGGCGGUCAAUUAAGUCUGAUGUGAAAGCCCCCGGCUCAACCGGGGAGGGUCAUUGGAAACUGGUUGACUUGAGUGCAGAAGAGGAGAGUGGAAUUCCAUGUGUAGCGGUGAAAUGCGUAGAUAUAUGGAGGAACACCAGUGGCGAAGGCGACUCUCUGGUCUGUAACUGACGCUGAGGCUCGAAAGCGUGGGUAGCAAACAGG
RNAcentral lists this ribosomal RNA (429 nucleotides) under Bacteroidota bacterium. RNAcentral describes it as "Bacteroidetes bacterium partial 16S ribosomal RNA". It matches the Rfam family "Bacterial small subunit ribosomal RNA", at positions 355 to 776 of the family's 1533-position model. Lineage: Bacteria; Pseudomonadati; Bacteroidota. The record is from RNAcentral.